This 1231-nucleotide long non-coding RNA is filed under the name Bos taurus (domestic cattle). Its description in RNAcentral is "long non-coding RNA NONBTAT017311". The stretch from base 62 to 195 matches the Rfam family "Small nucleolar RNA SNORA1". Lineage: Eukaryota; Metazoa; Chordata; Mammalia; Artiodactyla; Bovidae. The record is from RNAcentral.
CUGUACAGGUGCAGAAGAAGCUUUUUGCACAUUGUCUUAAGCUUGGGAAACUUAUUUACAAAGCCUCAUUCUACUGAAAAUGGGCACUUGUUCAUGGUGUCCAUAAAACUGUUAAUGUGGCUACAUUGAGAACACAGGUUUUGCUUCCAUCACUGUAAUUUUAUUGCAGUGGUGACAAUGAGACCUGUAACAUUUUUUUUUUUUUUUGACUAGGCUCAUGAGUAAAAAUUGGAUAUAAUAUGGCUUUUCAAUAUUAGGAAAGAUGAAGGAAUAAACACAAUUGUACUUGCUAUAUUUAACUUCUAGGAUCCUACAGUAAACUGCUUGAGGAAAUUGGGUCUUUGAAGAUUACAGGUAAGAUUUUCGUUUUUUCCCCCUUGUAUUUAAUGCAAAAAACUAGACGUUAAACAGCCCAUUACGUGUUCUACUGUUUUUUCAGGGAUGUUAUGAUGAUGGGCAAAAUUGUUCAACUGCUCUGAAUGGGCUGAGUGAAAAUAGCCUUUCUGAACAUCCACAUUAAACUAUAUUUUAAAACAUGACAGCUCUAAGAUUAAAGUUGCCUGAGGACAUUUAUAUUUUGCAACAAAGUUUAGGUAUGAAUGAAAAUGGAACCGAAUCAGUCCCAGUUAUUGUUCAAAUCCUUUUCUGUAGGUGGCAAACUUUGAAGUGAACUCCACUGAAGAUCUAAGAGGCCCAACUAAAACAACGUGGCAGGUAAUUAUUAUCUGUCAGAUUUUGAUGGUCAUUACCAAGGCUUUUAGAACGCAGUUUCUAAUUUGCUGUGGACAUGACCGUAAAACAAAAUCCCAACUAGGUUUUUCUUCCUGCUACUUUGUUAGCAUACAGCCUGUUGGGAACAUUUUAUUAGCCUUAAUUAACUACUUGUGAAAGUCAGCACUGUUCUAGUAUAAAUAGAACACAGCCAUUUUUCUAAUUAGCUUUUAUAAUACCCAGACAUUGCUAGUCUAUGCCUAGCAUUGAAGAGUCUAUGCCUAGAUUGCUGGACUUGUUUUCUAGUUUAUUACUGGGGUAGUUGGCUUCAGAACUUUAUAGGACCAUCUCUGAAAAUGAAACCUUUAAUAUUUCUGUUAUACAGGCAUCACAGCUGUGGAUUGAGCAGAACUUUUUGAAAGGUAUGUACACAUUAGAGAAAUAGUUUUUGUAGGUCAUUUCAAAGAGGGCUGAUGGGACCAAAUCCUGGAGCCCUUAACGCUGUGACCAAAGACUGAAU